AUACGGAGGGUGCAAGCGUUAAUCGGAAUCACUGGGCGUAAAGCGCACGCAGGCGGUUUGCUAAGUCAGAUGUGAAAGCCCCGGGCUUAACCUGGGAACUGCAUUUGAUACUGGCAAACUAGAGUAUGGGAGAGAGAAGUAGAAUUCCACAUGUAGCGGUGAAAUGCGUAGAGAUGUGGAGGAAUAUCAGUGGCGAAGGCGACUUCUUGGCCCAAUACUGACGCUCAGGUGCGAAAGCGUGGGGAGCAAACAGGAUUAGAAACCCCGGUAGUCC
RNAcentral lists this ribosomal RNA (274 nucleotides) under uncultured bacterium. RNAcentral describes it as "partial 16S ribosomal RNA". It matches the Rfam family "Bacterial small subunit ribosomal RNA", at positions 523 to 796 of the family's 1533-position model. The record is from RNAcentral.